AUGGCAUUUCCUAUUCAGCGCGCGUCGCGCCGGUUAAAGGCACCAGCGCAAAUGGGCACACGCCCCUCCACCUCCAUUGCUACUGCAUGGGCUGGCCCAUUAAAAGUACACAAGGGAAAUUCGAUCGCUGGUCUUAGGAAGCUUCCCAGGCUGGGCCAGCCCAUGCACAAAGUUCAGCGCAAAUUAGGAUCGAGUGUCUACACUGUCGGGCUAUUGACUAUAGCGGACCUUGGGCCCCUGAAGCAACCGGGAAAAGCUAAUUUCCUGCCGGCAGGAAUUUUACAACAGAUCCGCACGACAUGGAUUCCGUUUAUUCUGGAUCGAACGGGAAAAGCUAAUUUCCUGCCGGCAGGAAUUUUACAACAGAUCCGCACGACAUGGAUUCCGUUUAUUCUUGAUCGAACGGUCCUCCUCUGGGGAUCUGAGCUAGUGGGACCGUCAGGAGAGAUACGCGUCUCAGGAAAAGGGUUCGACCGCCCAAAUACGACGAGGAACAGUGAUGUACGAUCGUCCCUGGGUCGCGUUUUUGAAAACAAAGUGACGGCGACGAGCAGAGCCGUGGCUCGCGUCCGUUUGCGAAAAUUGUGCGUGGAUCAGAUAGGUCACGCAGCGGAAGGCGAAAAAAUGGCGGCGGCUAGCAAUAUGGGAGAAGGCGCCUCCCUGCCCGACAGCGGACUCGAGUUUCUACUGGAUCCGCCAGAUCCGUUGGUGUCAAGGGGCAUCGUGCCGUCGGCUAAGGCUGAUGCCGACUUCUCCUGCACGGUUGUGGUUGGACACCUCGGCGGCGCUGCUGAGCGCGGCGGCAAGAAGAAAGAGUCGCCAACCCAGUCCGUGAAAUCGACCGGGAAGGUGAACUCAGAGGCGCCGGGGUGGACCAGAAGCAUAGAUUGCUAUCAUGAUCGAGUGAUAUACCAUUGUAUAUGGAAGACGAAUGCAACAUCUAAAACAUCUGAAUAUGAUUUCAGGGUGAGAGUUGGCCGUGCACCUCUGCAUAGGGCACCCUGCCCUGGUAGAGUCACUCUACUGGAAGAAACAAUCCGGAGGUACGCUGAUAAACCAUCGGACAAUGUUGUGAAACCAGAGAUUGGGAUGAGUUUUGACUCCCUGGGAAUUGGGAAAGCCUACGAUAUUAUUCAGUGGUUGAACUUCUGA
This 1152-nucleotide ribosomal RNA is filed under the name Triticum aestivum (bread wheat). RNAcentral's name for it is "partial small subunit ribosomal RNA". The record is from RNAcentral. Lineage: Eukaryota; Viridiplantae; Streptophyta; Magnoliopsida; Poales; Poaceae.